UGAGCAUGAGCGGUAGGGGCACUCAGAGCUUCUCAGGCUUAUCAACAGGGGCAAGGCCACUAGCUUGUGGGAAGAAGGUCCAGUGAGUGCUGAAUCAGAUCCUCAGUCAAGGACCAACACUGUGUACUCCUGUCCUCCUCGGAGCUCCCACAUUCCAGACUGCAACUGCAGGGAAGAAAUCCUGACACUGAACAUGUGAACACGUCCAACACACCUGAGAACUAACACUACCCUGGACAGAGUCAAUACAGAAUCUGAUCAGCCUCUUACACCUACUUUGCCACCACUCCACAGGAU
Long non-coding RNA from Numida meleagris (helmeted guineafowl), 297 nucleotides. RefSeq lists it as uncharacterized. The record is from RefSeq and is a predicted model, not a curated record. The transcript has 3 exons. Lineage: Eukaryota; Metazoa; Chordata; Aves; Galliformes; Numididae.